GACGUAGGGAGCAAGCGUUGUCCGGAUUUACUGGGCGUAAAGAGCGCGUAGGCGGUCUGUUAAGUGUGAAGUGAAAUCUCUGUGCUCAACACAGAAACUGCUUCGCAUACUGGCAGACUUGAGGAAUGCAGAGGCAACUGGAAUUCCUGGUGUAGCGGUGAAAUGCGUUGAUAUCAGGAGGAACACCCAUGGCGAAGGCAGGUUGCUGGGCAUUAUCUGACGCUGAGGCGCGAAAGCGUGGGUAGCAAACAGG
RNAcentral lists this ribosomal RNA (253 nucleotides) under uncultured bacterium. RNAcentral describes it as "partial 16S ribosomal RNA". It matches the Rfam family "Bacterial small subunit ribosomal RNA", at positions 524 to 776 of the family's 1533-position model. The record is from RNAcentral.